AGCGGUCAAGUCGAGCGUGUCAACCAGAUUCUUGAAGAUAUGCUCAGGGCUUGUGUGAUCUCCUUCGGCAUGAAGUGGGAGGAUUGUCUUCCUUAUGCUGAAUUCUCCUACAACAACAGUUUUCAAGCAAGUUCGGGCAAGGCCCCUUUUGAAAUUCUGUAUGGCAGGAAGUGCCGUACCCCUCUCAACUGGUCUGAAACCGGUGAACGUCAGCUUUUGGGUAAUGACUUAAUCACAGAGGCAGAAGAAAUGUGCAAAGUCAUUCGUGAUAACCUCAAAGCAGCCCAAUCCCGUCAGAAGAGCUACUAUGAUAGUAAGCACCGUGAUUUGGCUUUCGAGAUCGGAGAUCAUGUUUACCUCCGUGUCUCUCCUAUGAAAGGUACUCGUUGC
RNAcentral lists this ribosomal RNA (390 nucleotides) under Triticum aestivum (bread wheat). RNAcentral describes it as "partial small subunit ribosomal RNA". The record is from RNAcentral. Lineage: Eukaryota; Viridiplantae; Streptophyta; Magnoliopsida; Poales; Poaceae.